GACUCCUUGGCAAUUCUCCAUCGUUCCUGCACCGUAGCUCCCUUGUAUAUCGGACAGUCGUACAACGGGUGCCCUUCCUUGCAUUGCGGGCACGCCGGCUUGUCU
Non-coding RNA from Bombyx mori (domestic silkworm), 105 nucleotides. The record is from RefSeq and is marked provisional. Lineage: Eukaryota; Metazoa; Arthropoda; Insecta; Lepidoptera; Bombycidae.